GAUGAACGCUGACAGAAUGCUUAAUACAUGCAAGUCUACCUGAACUUCGGUUUGGGUGGCGGACGGGUGAGUACCGCGUAAAGAACUUUCCCCACAGAUUGGGACACCAUUUGGAAACGAAUGCUAAUACCUGAUAUUAUGAUUUUAGGGCAUCUUUGAUUUAUGAAAGCUAUAUGUACUGUGAGAGAGCUUUGCGUCCCAUUAGCUAGUUGGAGAGGUAACGGCUCACCAAGGCGAUGAUGGGUGGCCGACCUGGGAGGGCGAUCUGCCCCAAGGGGACUGGGACACGGCCCGUACUGAAACGGGAGGCAGGGGCGGAAAAUAUAGGGCGAAAGACCAAGAGUCUGAUGAAGGAAUUCGGUGUGUACGAUGAUGUUUUUCGGGAUGAAAAGUGCUUUCAGUUAGGAAGAAAAAAAUGACGGUACCAACAGAGAAAGUGACGGCUAAAUACGUG
This 454-nucleotide ribosomal RNA is filed under the name uncultured bacterium. RNAcentral describes it as "partial 16S ribosomal RNA". It matches the Rfam family "Bacterial small subunit ribosomal RNA", at positions 28 to 507 of the family's 1533-position model. The record is from RNAcentral.